Molecule: ribosomal RNA, 377 nt
Filed under: uncultured bacterium
Lineage: Bacteria
Description: bacterial SSU rRNA
Rfam family: Bacterial small subunit ribosomal RNA
Source: RNAcentral
AGCGAACGCUGGCGGCAGGCUUAACACGUGCAAGUCGAACGGGCGUAGCAAUACGUCAGUGGCAGACGGGUGAGUAACGCGUGGGAACGUACCUUUUGGUUCGGAACAACCCAGGGAAACUUGGGCUAAUACCGGAUAAGCCCUUACGGGGAAAGAUUUAUCGCCGAAAGAUCGGCCCGCGUCUGAUUAGCUUGUUGGUGAGGUAACGGCUCACCAAGGCGACGAUCAGUAGCUGGUCUGAGAGGAUGAUCAGCCACAUUGGGACUGAGACACGGCCCAAACUCCUACGGGAGGCAGCAGUGGGGAAUAUUGGACAAUGGGCGCAAGCCUGAUCCAGCCAUGCCGCGUGAGUGAUGAAGGCCCUAGGGUUGUAAAGC